GCGGAGGCAGCAGUGAGGAAUUUUCCGCAAUGGGCGAAAGCCUGACGGAGCAAUACCGCGUGAGGGACGACGGCUUUUGGGUUGUAAACCUCUUUUCCCUGGGAAGAAGAUCUGACGGUACCAGGGGAAUCAGCAUCGGCUAACUUCGUGCCAGCAGCCGCGGUAAUACGAGGGAUGCAAGCGUUAUCCGGAAUUAUUGGGCGUAAAGCGUCCGCAGGUGGCUCUGUAAGUCUGUCGUUAAAGAAUGGGGCUCAACCCCAUACAGGCGAUGGAAACUACAAGGCUAGAGUUUGGUAGGGGUCACGGGAAUUCUUAGUGUAGCGGUGAAAUGCGUAGAUAUUAAGAAGAACACCAGCGGCGAAAGCGCGUGACUGGGCCAGUACUGACACUCAUGGACGAAAGCUAGGGGAGCGAAAGGGAUUAGAUACCCCGGUAGG
This 437-nucleotide ribosomal RNA is filed under the name uncultured bacterium. Its description in RNAcentral is "bacterial SSU rRNA". It matches the Rfam family "Bacterial small subunit ribosomal RNA", at positions 342 to 794 of the family's 1533-position model. The record is from RNAcentral.